Molecule: ribosomal RNA, 525 nt
Filed under: Triticum aestivum (bread wheat)
Lineage: Eukaryota; Viridiplantae; Streptophyta; Magnoliopsida; Poales; Poaceae
Description: partial small subunit ribosomal RNA
Source: RNAcentral
UUCUAUUGGAGAAUAAAGCUUGAUGAUGAGGACAAAGUGGAAAAUUUGUUCUGGAUAGAUGGUGCGUCGCGCAGGACAUAUGCUAGAUACAAUGAUGUCAUCUCAUUCGACACAACAUACAUGACAAACAUGUACAAAAUUCCCUGUGCGCCCUUCAUUGGCAUUAAUAACCAUGACCAGUCAAUCCAGUUUGGUUGUGGGUUUGUUCGAAACAAACUAUCUGGUAACUUUGUGUGGCUGUUUAAUGCAUUCUUGCAUGCAAUGGGUGGAAUUGCGCCGAAGAACAUAAUAACAGAUCAAGAUUUUGCAAUGAGGAGUGCUAUUGAUGAGGUGUUCAUCGGGAUAGUACACGGGAAUUGCCGCUGGCAUAUAAUGAAAAAAGCACAGGAGAAGCUUGGGAAGCUGAUGGCUGACGAUGAGCCACUAAAUAAUGCAUUCAAGGAUUGUGUUGACAACAGCCUGACUGGUAUUUUACUUCCCACCCUCACUAACUUAAAACACAAGAAAAUGGGUUUACAUGCAUGA